UACGGAGGGUGCAAGCGUUAUCCGGAUUUACUGGGUUUAAAGGGUGCGUAGGUGGGUCUGUAAGUCAGCGGUGAAAUCUCCGAGCUUAACUCGGAAACUGCCAUUGAUACUAUAGGUCUUGAAUUAUCUGGAGGUGAGCGGAAUAUGUCAUGUAGCGGUGAAAUGCUUAGAUAUGACAUAGAACACCAAUUGCGAAGGCAGCUCACUACGGAUUGAUUGACACUGAGGCACGAAAGCGUGGGGAGCAAACAGG
Molecule: ribosomal RNA, 253 nt
Filed under: uncultured bacterium
Lineage: Bacteria
Description: partial 16S ribosomal RNA
Rfam family: Bacterial small subunit ribosomal RNA
Source: RNAcentral